RNAcentral lists this ribosomal RNA (519 nucleotides) under Triticum aestivum (bread wheat). Its description in RNAcentral is "partial small subunit ribosomal RNA". Lineage: Eukaryota; Viridiplantae; Streptophyta; Magnoliopsida; Poales; Poaceae. The record is from RNAcentral.
CUUGAAGUAGAACAAGUUUUUAGUCACCAUGAUUUUUCUGAACUUGAGAGAGUACGAGCUACCAUUAGAGCAUUUACUGGUUUUGCUUCUGUUUGGUGGAGUGUACAUUGUAAGAAAAACAUUGAUAAUCAACCCACAACUUGGAAAGUUUUGAAAGCUGUAAUGAGACAACAAUUUUUUCCUCCUUACUAUCGUCGUGAAUUGCGUCGCAAAUUGGAGCAAUUAAAACAAGGCAGUAAUACUGUUCAUGCUUACUACCAAGAGUUCAAAUCUUAUAUGCAUCAUUGUGACAUAGAAGAAUCUGAGGAUGAUACAAUGAAUAGAUUUUUUGAUGGUUUGAACCAUGAUAUUCAGGCAAGAUUUCAGUAUAUUCCUCGUUGCAUUACUGGUAUGUAUGUCCGUGCUUGUACCUUUGAGAGACAAAUACAGGAGGAUGCAUUGGGUGACUACAACAACUACUAUUCCAGUUCAUGCUCACCACCGCCGGUUGGUUACUCCACUAUUGCACCUACUAGAGCA